This 232-nucleotide long non-coding RNA is filed under the name Nicotiana benthamiana. RNAcentral describes it as "long non-coding RNA (NBEN_LNC002763)". The record is from RNAcentral. Lineage: Eukaryota; Viridiplantae; Streptophyta; Magnoliopsida; Solanales; Solanaceae.
AAUGAAAGUGGCGUUAAAUAGGCCAUUAAACAACUUUUAGGCCAGAACAAGGUUGAAUCUUCCACGAGAUUCUUGUAAGACUCAUAAAAUGAAAGAGCCAGGAAGAAUAGGAGACCAGCGGUGGUCAGAGAAGGCAUAGAAACACCAUAGAAGGGAGGUCUUCGCAGGUGAUGGCGAUUAGGGUUAGGGUGAGUUGAGAGAGAACUGGAAUGUUGAGGGAAAUAGGUGACGG